This 341-nucleotide ribosomal RNA is filed under the name uncultured bacterium. RNAcentral describes it as "partial 16S ribosomal RNA". It matches the Rfam family "Bacterial small subunit ribosomal RNA", at positions 355 to 688 of the family's 1533-position model. The record is from RNAcentral.
UGGGGAAUAUUGGACAAUGGGCGAAAGCCUGAUCCAGCCAUGCCGCGUGUGUGAAGAAGGUCUUCGGAUUGUAAAGCACUUUAAGUUGGGAGGAAGGGCAUUAACCUAAUACGUUAGUGUUUUGACGUUACCGACAGAAUAAGCACCGGCUAACUCUGUGCCAGCAGCCGCGGUAAUACAGAGGGUGCAAGCGUUAAUCGGAAUUACUGGGCGUAAAGCGCGCGUAGGUGGUUUGUUAAGUUGGAUGUGAAAUCCCCGGGCUCAACCUGGGAACUGCAUUCAAAACUGACUGACUAGAGUAUGGUAGAGGGUGGUGGAAUUUCCUGUGUAGCGGUGAAAUG